GGCUGCCGCUUUGGCGGCAGUGCACAGGUGAGGAAAGUCCGGGCUUCAUAGGGCAGGAUGCCGGAUAACGUCCGGUGGAGGUGACUCCAAGGCCAGUGCAACAGAAAUAUACCGCCAACACUCAGUUGUGUGGAAGAAACGGCGCAGCCGGUUCUUCCGAUUGUAUAUAGCAUGCUGUAUACAAUCUGGUAAGGGUGGAAAGGCAGCUUAAGAGACUACCGUCCGUCUGGUAACAGACGGAGCCAUGUAAACCCCAUCCGAAGCAAGACCAAACAGAAAGCGACAGGCUUGCCCGGCCUGCUUUCAGGUGGGUCGCUUGAUACGGCUGGCAACAGCCGUACUAGAUAGAUGACCGUCCAACGACAUAACCCGGCUUAUCGUUUUGCUUAU
RNAcentral lists this RNase P RNA (390 nucleotides) under uncultured Acetatifactor sp. Its description in RNAcentral is "Bacterial RNase P class A". It matches the Rfam family "Bacterial RNase P class A". From Rfam's summary of the family: Ribonuclease P (RNase P) is a ubiquitous endoribonuclease, found in archaea, bacteria and eukarya as well as chloroplasts and mitochondria. Its best characterised activity is the generation of mature 5'-ends of tRNAs by cleaving the 5'-leader elements of precursor-tRNAs. Lineage: Bacteria; Bacillati; Bacillota; Clostridia; Lachnospirales; Lachnospiraceae. The record is from RNAcentral.